Non-coding RNA from Schistocephalus solidus, 83 nucleotides. NCBI's taxonomy places the organism in Eukaryota, Metazoa, Platyhelminthes, Cestoda, Diphyllobothriidea, Diphyllobothriidae. The record is from Rfam.
GGCCUCGUAGCUCAGGUGGGUAGAGCGUCGGCUGUACUACAGCCUUGUCCCUGUUGUUGUGGGUUCGAAUCCCACCGGGGUCA